ACGGGGCGCAGCAGUAGGGAAUAUUGGGCAAUGGGCGGAAGCCUGACCCAGCCAUGCCGCGUGAAGGAAGACGGCCUUAUGGGUUGUAAACUUCUUUACUAUGCAACUAACUAGAUUUACGAGAUAAUUCUAUAGAAUGUAGCAUAGCAAAAAGCACCGGCUAACUCCGUGCCAGCAGCCGCGGUAAUACGGAGGGUGCGAGCGUUAUUCGGAAUUACUGGGUUUAAAGGGUGCGUAGGCGGCUAAGUAAGUUGUCAUUGAAAGGCUACAGCUCAACUGUAGUAGUGGUGGCGAUACUGCUUAGCUAAGAACAUGGGAGGGGUACUUGGAAUGUGUGGUGUAGCGGUGAAAUGCGUAGAUAUCACACAGAACACCAGAGGCGAAGGCGGAGUACUAGACCAUAGUUGACGCUGAGGCACAAAAGCGUGGGGAUCAAACAGGAUUAGAUACCCUGGUAGUCCACGCCCUAAACGAUGAUCACUAGAUAUUGGCGACAAACAGUCAGUGUCCAAGCGAAAGUGAUAAGUGAUCCACCUGGGGACUACGGCCGCAAGGUUAAAACUCAAAGGAAUUGGCGGGGGAGCACA
Molecule: ribosomal RNA, 587 nt
Filed under: uncultured archaeon
Lineage: Archaea
Description: bacterial SSU rRNA
Rfam family: Bacterial small subunit ribosomal RNA
Source: RNAcentral